UUUAGUGCAGUCGUUUCGUUCGGUCGUUCUAACGGUAGUAUCGGAACAACGGUAGCUUUGGCCUAGUGUAAGGACAAUUCACCAAUUCCCACACAUAUAAACUCACUCAAACACACAAAUACAUAUACCAACACACUCACAUACAUAUACGCGCGUUGUGCUGUGUGUGCUUUAGGUGCGGCAACGAGUCGAAAGUAAAAGUUGUUCAAUGUGCAUUAUAACGCUGCUGUCACCGAAUAAAAACAAAGACAAAGGACGAAUAGGAGGAAAAGGACAAACGCAAUCAGAGAACAAGGAACACGCUGUGCCCAACACGGGCAGCGGCAGUUAUAGCCGCUAAUGAAGAUGAAGUGAUAUCCAGUGAUAUCGUGUUAAACUGAAAUUAAAUAGAAUAUAAAUCGCUGGAAAAAUGACGGCGAUUUCUCAGCACCAGCCGAGCAGAACAAAUGCAAAGUAGUUUGCUUCUGGCAGGACGUGGAGGCUAGGAGGCUCGGCAGUUUCAGCAUCCUUGUAGCCGAGCAAUUUGUAAGCUGGCUCGCCAAUUUCACGCAUCAAGCGGCGGAAUGGCAGGCGCUAAUAAGGCGACCAGCCACGCCCCAAUGUUGUGCACCAGCAACGUCAAAAAAA
Drosophila innubila is the source of this 627-nucleotide long non-coding RNA. RefSeq lists it as uncharacterized. Lineage: Eukaryota; Metazoa; Arthropoda; Insecta; Diptera; Drosophilidae. The transcript is spliced from 2 exons. The record is from RefSeq and is a predicted model, not a curated record.